GCCGAGGCACUGCAGGAUGAGGCAGGCUAUUAGUUUCGCCUAGAAAUGCCCGAAAAUCGGAUAUUUUCGCGUUUUCCUCCUCUCUCCAGAUUGAAGGAGGUAUAAAAACAUCAUCCAGUUGCUUGUUUUGGCUUAACCUUGGCAGAUGUAAGUAUGUAUUUAUGAAAUCCCUUUAUCUGAGCACUGAGCUUUUUCUGUCUGCCCAGAGUGUGUGGUCAAAGGCCUGCUGGGCUGAGCAAUUUGCUGUAUCUCUUAUUUAGCAAUCAACACUAAUAAGAAAUGUGACACUCACUUCACUGUGCCUGUUCUGCUGUAACAACAUCUCUGUGUGCAGUUAUUGCUGAGAUUUGUUACCAGGCUUUUCCUUGGAGGCAAAAAGGAUCCUUUCAAACUGCAAUAUGUCAGCCUAAAAAGGUGUAAGUCCAUCUGCUUUUUCAUUCAUCUUUUCCAGUGUUUUACACUACCUUUGUGCAAAUGGUGAGGAGGAAGGGUAAGUGCUGUCUAAUGAAUGGCAAAAUUCCAUUGUCUCCAAAAAAGGUUGGGUGUUUUUGAGUAUUCUGAAAUAGGAAAUAUGGGCAGAUUGCAAUUUGCAAAUGGAAACUGUGUCUAUGCUUAUUGAACUUGGUCUUGAUUUUAGCUGAGCACUGCACCACUCACUCAUUUUCCUUGCCAAAGUAGGCAACUGGACUAUUCAGUCCAUCCAGCUAACCUCAGUGAAACUAUUUCCUGACAGUUUUUUUUCUUUUUCCCCAGGAUUAAAGCAUCAGGUCCUUCUGUUACAGUGACUUCAGGUCAUGCUGGGACAAAGCCUUUUCAAUAAUGCUGGCAGCAUUCACAGAUGCAUUUAGACUGUUUCUGAGAAAUUCUCAUUGAUGAGAUAGAAAAUCAACUUGCAAAUAGAACUUUUGAAAUUAUUAAACAGGGGAGUUAAUUGGAAAUGUAGCAUGUAGGACUGUUUUAGCCUUCUUGUUGAAAGUGCUUAUUAACUGUUAAGAUUAUUUCAUGUUUAUCCACUGAAAUAUAUGUAAUGCAUGUUUUUACAGGCCAGUAUUUUUCUGAUGAGAUUCUUCUCCUACUUUAAUCUCUAAAACAUUUUACAUGAAGAUGUGUGAUUAUGGCAUCAAUAUAUGACUGAUAUUACCUGUGAAGGGUUAAGUGUAACAUGCAGGUUAUGAUGAAUAUUUAAGAAACAUUUUAGAAUCUUUCCAAUUGUAACUUUUGUUGAUGCCAAAUGUAAACCACAUGGCCACAUUUGAAAGAAAGUAGGGUGAACACCCAAUUUCUUAUGACAUGUUCCCAUUAUGACUGCCUCCUUCAAAUGGAAGCUUAAAAUGCUCUCCAUUAUCCAUUAGCUGUGGCUCUAGGGAGGUCCCAGAGGACUGGAGGUGCCAGUGUGAUGCCAAUCCAACAAGAAGGGCUGGAGGGGGGAGGCUCUGGGAAACUCCAGACCUGGCAGCCAGACCUCAGUGCCCUGCAGGAUCACAGAAUGGAUCACCCUGAGUGUGAUCAGAGCCUGCAGCAUGGCCAGGGGAUCAGAAUCCUGCAGGACUCCUGCAGCAGUUUUCCAUUUCCAGUGUAUCUCUUGACACAGCAGUGAAGAGAUCACUUUUCCUUUUCUGGUAGCUGAUUAUAUGGAGGGUCCUCCUCAGCACGUCACCUUCUCCUCCUCUCAUGAUGGCCUUGUCUUGAAUUAGUCUAAUAAAAUAUUUUCUGUCUGGAAUAGAAAACACCAUAAUUCCAAUCUUUCAUGAAAGCCUUACAAAUUAACUUGGGAAGAAUAAAUAAAAAUAUAUUUAAGUAUGUAAUUGGAAGAGAAUUUUGUGUUCUAGAGGCUUCUCAUUUAUCCUAAUGGUGGCAAAUUUAUUGAGAUGAGAAAGAGAGAAACAAGGAAUCUGCCUGCCUAUACAUUUCCUCUUGUUGUCUAACAGCAGCUGCUUCACUGGAAAAUGUGUUCUAAAGUGAAUAUUUAUUUUUUCAAUAGGAGACUAAACUGCUUUAUAGAGUUCUGGAUUGAGCCAAAUGACUUUUAAAGCCCAGAAAUUAAAUUAUGCAAUGUGUCAGGUUUAUAUUCUAGCUUUGUUUCCAGCUGCUGCUGCUGCA
Molecule: long non-coding RNA, 2100 nt
Organism: Parus major (Great Tit)
Lineage: Eukaryota; Metazoa; Chordata; Aves; Passeriformes; Paridae
Exons: 3
Source: RefSeq, a predicted model, not a curated record